UUUUUUUUUUUUUUUUUUUUUGGGGGGGGGUGGGAAGAGCAGAAUUUUAAAGGUAAAAAUACUUCAUAUCCUUUCAUAGCAACAUAGUGAUGUUCAACAUCAUUAACGUGAUUCCAUUAAUAACAAAGCCAAGAGAAUCAAGUAUGUUACUGUUGAGGAAUCACUCUUCUUACAAACGGUUGAGAAUGGUAGCUACAUCAAAAUAUUUUAAAUUAUCUUUUUAAAAGGUAUUAAAAAAAUAAAAAAAAAUAAAAAAAUAAAAAAUAAUAAAAGGUAUUAAAAAGGACAUUCUAGAUUCAUCAUGAAUGUUCACUAUUUUUUUUUAAUUUUCUGGGCCUCACAAAUUUAAGAUAUUAAAAAAUUGAAAUUUUAAAUUAACCAAAACUUUUGUUUUAUUUUGACAUUUCUCAAGAAAGCAAAAGAGAUGGAAAAUCUACGGUUUUGGAUGCCAUGUGUUAAAUUUCAAUAAUUCAUGUAAAACUCUUGCCCUUUUCAUUUUACUUUCAAUUAAGAGGCUUUUCAAAAAAAAAUGAAUUAAUGUAGAAUAGUAUGUAACUAACUGUAUUUAAUCGUUUCAAAAUCAUAGAAAGAAGCCGCAGGAAAUACCUUCACUCCUACUGAAUGUUAGGUGAGUUAGAACACAUGGAAGGCUUUUGAGGGGCAGGUGCAGCUGUCAAACAAAGCUCCAAUGAAUGCAACAUCAGUUUUUCUAUAGUCAUGAGCUUUGGGGAACCCAGUGCUAUUUCUUGUCACAUACCUCAGGAACUGGGUUUGUAAUUUUCUGGGGGAAUUGAGAGCUUCCAUCCCUUCAUCCAAAACUACGACAUGUUAUGUUACUCUGAAUCAAAAGUGGAAAAGCUGAUCAAGACCAUCCUGCUUUAAUCAUCUUAACCAAAAAUAUGUGUUUGGAUAAGAUAGAGGAAGAUGUAAUGAAUUUUCUAAGUGAAUGCUCAAGUUUUUCAGGAGUUCAUAGAGUGAUCUGCUCUCUUGGUAGAGAGGAUUUCUAUAACUGGGUACCUUGGUUUUGUUUAUUGGCUACAGUCUGAAAAAAUUCUGUGGUGUGUAAUUUUACUUUUAUCUCCAUCAUUAUUGACCUUCCAAAGUGGAUCUACUACCUACAAAGUCACCAGAGUUCUGUGCAGGAACCGCUUACAGAAACCAAAGAGUAAGACAAAGUUUCCCCUUUUCUUUUUCCACUGGUGAAAGAGAAUAGAAAGUAUUGAUGAUUCCUGACCGAGAAAAAUAGCACUCAGCGGGGACAAGGACACUUUAAGCGGAGUCUUCUGCUUAGCACUAUGGCGAAUGUCAUGACCACCAGCUCAAUGGUUGUGAAAUAUCCGAAUUAACUUUUAAAAGUACCUUCUUUCUCGUGUUUCAUAUUCUCCAUCUACCUUUGUACCAACGUUAUAUUCUCUACUAGCCCAGAAGGAACAACUCCAGCUCACCUCCCAUUCAUCUUCAUUAAAUAUUUACUGUCAUCAUUUAAUGUUGUUAUUUACCAGCUAACAUUUUUUUUUAUUACUUCAAACUUUGAAAAAAAAGAUGUUCACUAUCAUUGAACUGUGGGGCUAAGAUCAGUGGCUAGAAUGUACCAAUACACAGACCAUCCAUUCUUCUAGCUCACCCUGCACAUGAACCACGUGACUUAGAGCUGCGUAAAAGAAAGGCAAAUCUAGCCUCUCAGAUUUCUCCCUGAAACUAACAGUUGGGCUUAUAAAAAGUAGUUUUCUAUUUUUUGUGGCCUUUAGACAAGCUUACACAAAAUCUGAAAAAAAAAAAAAAAGGAAAUACUUAAUUUCUGCACCAUAGAAUUUUUGGGAGAAAAGUUUUCUAUUUUGCUAUUUCCUCUUAAAAAGAAAAAAAAAGGAAUGACACUGUGCUUGUUUCAGAACUCAGAUUUAGGAAACACAUACAUACACGAAACCGGGAAGAAAGUUUGGCAAGGCUCCCCUUUUAAUAUACCAGGAUGUCUGAUACAUUUGGAAUUGCUGAAAUAAGUAGGGGGAUGAUGAGUGCUUCAGAUGACACUGAAGAGUGGCCUUUCAUGAAUUCACACAUAAUGGGGAGGCUUCAAUGUUAAGGCCAUAAAAGUAUCUCCAUUCAUAUCCUAAUCUGUAAACAGAAACCCCUGAAAAGAUAUUUGAUGCUUUUCUUUAAGAGAUAAAAUUGGAUUUAAAAAAAAAAUCACUAUUUUCUAUCUUAACAAUUAUCUAGGUCCAUUUUAUUCUAAGGGAUCUUGAUGUCUGAAGCUUUAGGAUCUAACGAAUUGGCCUUAAAUGGGAAGAGCCAACUAAAAUUAUAAUGCUGAGGUGUCAGAAGGUACUAAGGGGUGGUGGGGGGGGGGAGUAAUUCAUUAAUAGAUAGUUAGAUACCUACUUAGAUAAUAGAUAUUUAGCCUAUCUAGGUACACAUUCCAAACCCAUCAGUCCAUCUGUGACUGCUCCUGCUCGGAACCCCUGUGGGUCCCCAAACCGGUUCACAAGAACAGGCUUUUUUUUUCCGGAUUGCGGAGCAACUUUUAGUUUCCUAAGUCCGUGAACACCACUCAUUUGAGGGCCUCAUUGUAAUCCUAUGCGCUGACAUUGAUUUUCCCCCUGCCAAUAGGGAGGAGGGCCUAAAAAAAAAAAAAAAAAAAAUAAGAGAAUAAAAAAAUAAAAAAAAUAAAAAAAAAAAAA
RNAcentral lists this long non-coding RNA (2675 nucleotides) under Canis lupus familiaris (dog). RNAcentral describes it as "lncRNA (ENSCAFG00845015065.1)". The record is from RNAcentral. Lineage: Eukaryota; Metazoa; Chordata; Mammalia; Carnivora; Canidae.